GGGCCGUUAGCUCAGUUGGUAGAGCAGGUGGCUCUUAACCACUUGGUCGGGAGUUCGAGUCUCCCACGGCCCACCA
This 76-nucleotide transfer RNA is filed under the name Gammaproteobacteria bacterium. RNAcentral describes it as "tRNA-Lys". It matches the Rfam family "tRNA". From Rfam's summary of the family: Transfer RNA (tRNA) molecules are approximately 80 nucleotides in length. Their secondary structure includes four short double-helical elements and three loops (D, anti-codon, and T loops). Lineage: Bacteria; Pseudomonadati; Pseudomonadota; Gammaproteobacteria. RNAcentral also lists the same sequence under 1 other name. The record is from RNAcentral.